RNAcentral lists this ribosomal RNA (372 nucleotides) under uncultured bacterium. RNAcentral describes it as "bacterial SSU rRNA". It matches the Rfam family "Bacterial small subunit ribosomal RNA", at positions 527 to 896 of the family's 1533-position model. The record is from RNAcentral.
GUAGGGUGCGAGCGUUAUCCGGAUUUAUUGGGCGUAAAGGGCUCGUAGGCGGUUCGUCGCGUCCGGUGUGAAAGUCCAUCGCCUAACGGUGGAUCUGCGCCGGGUACGGGCGGGCUGGAGUGCGGUAGGGGAGACUGGAAUUCCCGGUGUAACGGUGGAAUGUGUAGAUAACGGGAAGAACACCAAUGGCGAAGGCAGGUCUCUGGGCCGUCACUGACGCUGAGGAGCGAAAGCGUGGGGAGCGAACAGGAUUAGAUACCCUGGUAGUCCACGCCGUAAACGGUGGAUGCUGGAUGUGGGGCCCUUUCCACGGGUCCCGUGUCGGAGCCAACGCGUUAAGCAUCCCGCCUGGGGAGUACGGCCGCAAGGCUA